Molecule: long non-coding RNA, 798 nt
Organism: Thalassophryne amazonica
Lineage: Eukaryota; Metazoa; Chordata; Actinopteri; Batrachoidiformes; Batrachoididae
Exons: 2
Source: RefSeq, a predicted model, not a curated record
UUAAAAAAAGAAGCAUGUAACCUCUUUUCUAAUUUGAGGAGUUUUUAGCCGUGCUGCCCAAAUCAUGGUCAGAGAUGAACGGAAUGGACGGACAGGAAGGAGACUGAGGGCGUGUGGGUCUGGCCUGCCGACUGAACUGUGACUGAGAUGACGCGCUCUCGCUGCUCGAGUCUUUUGGCUGUGACGUGAUGGGGAAGUCCUGAGACACAGUGCGGCCUAAGCUGCUGGCAUAGGAAACGGGCGGGCUGGGCAGUCCACAGGAGGCCAGAGUCAGGCUGGAUUACAACUGGAUUGGUUAGGAAGGGAGGGUCUUACAGUGCAAUGGAGCUUUUGGCAGCGUGAGGAUUUGUGGGAGGAGCAUGUCAGUCAAACAAGAGCCCACACCCUGUCGGGUGAAUGGAGGCACCAACUAAACAAAGUGUACGGACCACACACACACACACACACACACACACACACCAUGGCAGCACCCUGAACACCUACACAGGAAUCUGGACAUGUCCUUCAACAACCACCUUGUUUCCACAGAAGAACCAACAAAUGACUGACAGGCUGCAAACGAGGACAUAAAUGACUGAUGUGUGUUCAUCAUCCAAAAAAUGCCCGUGAAAACUACCCUACGUAUCCGGUUGCAUCACUGACUGGUGUCCCUGUGAAGCGAGCGCAUUCAUGUGGAUCAUACUUAUGUAAACAGACACCUUUUACACAGGAGGAAUCAAUAUUGCAUGAUGACAUAAUCAGGUCACAGUUCAAAAACAGGAAGAUCCCAAAUCAGAGAAAAAAGUAAAGCAAAAGGAA